GCCCCGGUAAACGGCGGCCGUAACUAUAACGGUCCUAAGGUAGCGAAAUUCCUUGUCGGGUAAGUUCCGACCUGCACGAAUGGCGUAAUGAUGGCCAGGCUGUCUCCACCCGAGACUCAGUGAAAUUGAACUCGCUGUGAAGAUGCAGUGUACCCGCGGCAAGACGGAAAGACCCCGUGAACCUUUACUAUAGCUUGACACUGAACAUUGAGCCUUGAUGUGUAGGAUAGGUGGGAGGCUUUGAAGUGUGGACGCCAGUCUGCAUGGAGCCGACCUUGAAAUACCACCCUUUAAUGUUUGAUGUUCUAACGUUGGCCCGUAAUCCGGGUUGCGGACAGUGUCUGGUGGGUAGUUUGACUGGGGCGGUCUCCUCCUAAAGAGUAACGGAGGAGCACGAAGGUUGGCUAAUCCUGGUCGGACAUCAGGAGGUUAGUGCAAUGGCAUAAGCCAGCUUGACUGCGAGCGUGACGGCGCGAGCAGGUGCGAAAGCAGGUCAUAGUGAUCCGGUGGUUCUGAAUGGAAGGGCCAUCGCUCAACGGAUAAAAGGUACUCCGGGGAUAACAGGCUGAUACCGCCCAAGAGUUCAUAUCGACGGCGGUGUUUGGCACCUCGAUGUCGGCUCAUCACAUCCUGGGGCUGAAGUAGGUCCCAAGGGUAUGGCUGUUCGCCAUUUAAAGUGGUACGCGAGCUGGGUUUAGAACGUCGUGAGACAGUUCGGUCCCUAUCUGCCGUGGGCGCUGGAGAACUGAGGGGGGCUGCUCCUAGUACGAGAGGACCGGAGUGGACGCAUCACUGGUGUUCGGGUUGUCAUGCCAAUGGCACUGCCCGGUAGCUAAAUGCGGAAGAGAUAAGUGCUGAAAGCAUCUAAGCACGAAACUUGCCCCGAGAUGAGUUCUCCCUGACUCCUUGAGAGUCCUGAAGGAACGUUGAAGACGACGACGUUGAUAGGCCGGGUGUGUAAGCGCAGCGAUGCGUUGAGCUAACCGGUACUAAUGAACCGUGAGG
RNAcentral lists this ribosomal RNA (1005 nucleotides) under Escherichia coli. Its description in RNAcentral is "partial 23S ribosomal RNA". It matches the Rfam family "Bacterial large subunit ribosomal RNA", at positions 1917 to 2916 of the family's 2925-position model. Lineage: Bacteria; Pseudomonadati; Pseudomonadota; Gammaproteobacteria; Enterobacterales; Enterobacteriaceae. The record is from RNAcentral.